Molecule: ribosomal RNA, 127 nt
Organism: Notechis scutatus (mainland tiger snake)
Lineage: Eukaryota; Metazoa; Chordata; Lepidosauria; Squamata; Elapidae
Source: Ensembl
UUCAGGUCAUAUAGUCACUGUUUCCAGCACUAGCCAAACUUGGCUGAUCUCGAGGAAAGCUAAGCAGUAUUUGACCUGUUUACUGUUUGCAUGGGAGACCACCAGGGAAUAUAGGAUACUCUAGAAA